GAGAAAUGAUUAUCUUAGCUACAUAUGAAUCAGCCUGUGUAUCUGUGUUGUUUGCACUGCCACAGUAAGCAACAGUCUCGUUAUAUCCCGUCAGACAACACUGCUACAUUUUCCCUGGAAAUUCAGUUGUGAACCAGUUUGUAAAUGCUUAUGUAGUCUAUCUGCCACAUACCAUGUAGGGUAGGAACCUGAUGAUGUCUAUGAAACUGAAUUCAUGUGUUGUUGUAGAGAAAGGUGCCGUGCAGGGUAGGAACCUGAUGUUUAUUUAACAGAAUUCAUGUGUAGCACUCAUACACUCAUUGUCCUUCCUCUGAGUGGCUCACUUGGUCUAGACGGUGUGUGUGUGUGUGUGUGUUAAAUAUUGCCUCAGCGUCAAUACACAGUACUCCUCUGGAUAUUUUCACUCAGUGUUAUUCCCUAUUCACUCAGCACCAAGGCUAUGGCCCUAGAUUUAGAGAUGCACUCAGUCAGUCACUCUCUUCUCCAACGUUCUGAUUUUCUCUCCUCAGGCUCUGUGAAAGACCCUCCUGCCCUGUAGGGAGCAUGGCGAGGAGGAAGAGCCCUACACCCUCCAUGGAAGAUGCUUAACCCUUCUAAUGGCACUUCCUACCUACAGGGUUCCACAACGCCACUGCAAAGGCUGGGGUCACUCUUUUGCACAUCAACAAUAUUAAACCAAACAAGGCCUAACCAUGCUGUAUUUCUGUUAACUGUAACCCCUUAAAAAUUAGGGAAAAGAUUGAGUUACUUUUUAAAUUUGUUUACCGAGAUGAACUACUAUAAUAUCUCAUGUCAUGGUGCUGGUUUUAUUGUUUUCAUUUUUCUUAACGCGGCUUAAUAUGCUUUUAUUUAGUGUAAUGCAGUACAAGUGCUCAUGUAUUUAUGCACUAAAUUCAUGUUGUUUUAAAUGUGGUUAUCUAGCCUCGUCUAACAUUUCUUAAUCCACUACAUCCUGCUAAAUGUCACAGGGUGGCUGUUACACAGUUUGGUUACUAGCUGACGCUCUACUUCUACUUAAUGCUGUUUAAUUAGAUGGAUUAUGGAAAACCAUGGUUUUCUACCAUAUAACAACUGUGCCUUUUUAAAAUAAACUAUUUUAUUUACUCUACA
Long non-coding RNA from Oncorhynchus tshawytscha (Chinook salmon), 1110 nucleotides. The record is from Ensembl. Lineage: Eukaryota; Metazoa; Chordata; Actinopteri; Salmoniformes; Salmonidae.